UACGUAGGGUGCGAGCGUUAAUCGGAAUUACUGGGCGUAAAGUGUGCGCAGGCGGCGCCGCAAGUCGAGUGUGAAAGCCCCGGGCUUAACUUGGGAAUUGCGCUCGAAACUAGGGUGCUGGAGUGUGGCAGAGGAAGGUGGAAUUCCACGUGUAGCGGUGAAAUGCGUAGAGAUGUGGAGGAACACCGAUGGCGAAGGCAGCCUUCUGGGCCAACACUGACGCUCAUGCACGAAAGCGUGGGGAGCAAACAGG
This 253-nucleotide ribosomal RNA is filed under the name uncultured beta proteobacterium. Its description in RNAcentral is "partial 16S ribosomal RNA". It matches the Rfam family "Bacterial small subunit ribosomal RNA", at positions 524 to 776 of the family's 1533-position model. Lineage: Bacteria; Pseudomonadati; Pseudomonadota; Betaproteobacteria. The record is from RNAcentral.